AAAUUGAAGAGUUUGAUCAUGGCUCAGAUUGAACGCUGGCGGCAGGCCUAACACAUGCAAGUCGAACGGUAACAGGAAGCAGCUUGCUGCUUCGCUGACGAGUGGCGGACGGGUGAGUAAUGUCUGGGAAACUGCCUGAUGGAGGGGGAUAACUACUGGAAACGGUAGCUAAUACCGCAUAACGUCGCAAGACCAAAGAGGGGGACCUUCGGGCCUCUUACCAUCGGAUGUGCCCAGAUGGGAUUAGCUAGUAGGUGGGGUAACGGCUCACCUAGGCGACGAUCCCUAGCUGGUCUGAGAGGAUGACCAGCCACACUGGAACUGAGACACGGUCCAGACUCCUACGGGAGGCAGCAGUGGGGAAUAUUGCACAAUGGGCGCAAGCCUGAUGCAGCCAUGCCGCGUGUAUGAAGAAGGCCUUCGGGUUGUAAAGUACUUUCAGCGGGGAGGAAGGCGAUAAGGUUAAUAACCUUGUCGAUUGACGUUACCCGCAGAAGAAGCACCGGCUAACUCCGUGCCAGCAGCCGCGGUAAUACGGAGGGUGCAAGCGUUAAUCGGAAUUACUGGGCGUAAAGCGCACGCAGGCGGUCUGUCAAGUCGGAUGUGAAAUCCCCGGGCUCAACCUGGGAACUGCAUUCGAAACUGGCAGGCUAGAGUCUUGUAGAGGGGGGUAGAAUUCCAGGUGUAGCGGUGAAAUGCGUAGAGAUCUGGAGGAAUACCGGUGGCGAAGGCGGCCCCCUGGACAAAGACUGACGCUCAGGUGCGAAAGCGUGGGGAGCAAACAGGAUUAGAUACCCUGGUAGUCCACGCCGUAAACGAUGUCGACUUGGAGGUUGUGCCCUUGAGGCGUGGCUUCCGGAGCUAACGCGUUAAGUCGACCGCCUGGGGAGUACGGCCGCAAGGUUAAAACUCAAAUGAAUUGACGGGGGCCCGCACAAGCGGUGGAGCAUGUGGUUUAAUUCGAUGCAACGCGAAGAACCUUACCUACUCUUGACAUCCAGAGAACUUUCCAGAGAUGGAUUGGUGCCUUCGGGAACUCUGAGACAGGUGCUGCAUGGCUGUCGUCAGCUCGUGUUGUGAAAUGUUGGGUUAAGUCCCGCAACGAGCGCAACCCUUAUCCUUUGUUGCCAGCGGUCCGGCCGGGAACUCAAAGGAGACUGCCAGUGAUAAACUGGAGGAAGGUGGGGAUGACGUCAAGUCAUCAUGGCCCUUACGAGUAGGGCUACACACGUGCUACAAUGGCGCAUACAAAGAGAAGCGACCUCGCGAGAGCAAGCGGACCUCAUAAAGUGCGUCGUAGUCCGGAUUGGAGUCUGCAACUCGACUCCAUGAAGUCGGAAUCGCUAGUAAUCGUGGAUCAGAAUGCCACGGUGAAUACGUUCCCGGGCCUUGUACACACCGCCCGUCACACCAUGGGAGUGGGUUGCAAAAGAAGUAGGUAGCUUAACCUUCGGGAGGGCGCUUACCACUUUGUGAUUCAUGACUGGGGUGAAGUCGUAACAAGGUAACCGUAGGGGAACCUGCGGUUGGAUCACCUCCUUACCUUAAAGAA
Molecule: ribosomal RNA, 1552 nt
Filed under: Enterobacter hormaechei
Lineage: Bacteria; Pseudomonadati; Pseudomonadota; Gammaproteobacteria; Enterobacterales; Enterobacteriaceae
Also listed under: 1 other name
Description: bacterial SSU rRNA
Rfam family: Bacterial small subunit ribosomal RNA
Source: RNAcentral